CGGGUUGUAAAGUACUUUCAGCAGUGAGGAAGGUGGGUGUCGUUAAUAGCGGCAUCAUUUGACGUUAGCUGCAGAAGAAGCACCGGCUAACUCCGUGCCAGCAGCCGCGGUAAUACGGGAGGGUGCGAGCGUUAAUCGGAAUUACUGGGACGUAAAGCGCAUGCAGGUGGUUUAGUUAAGUCAGAUGUAGAAACGGCCCGGGGCUACAACCUACGGAAUUGCUAUUUAGAAACUGGCAGACUAGAGUACUGUAGAGGGGGUAGAAUUUCAGGUGUAGCGGUGAAAAUGCGUAGAGAUCUGAAGGAAUACCGGUGGCGAAGGCGGCCCCCUGGACAGAUACUGACACUCAGAUGCGAAAGCGUGGGGAGCAAACAGGAUUAGAUACCCUGGUAG
Molecule: ribosomal RNA, 393 nt
Filed under: uncultured bacterium
Lineage: Bacteria
Description: bacterial SSU rRNA
Rfam family: Bacterial small subunit ribosomal RNA
Source: RNAcentral